This 929-nucleotide long non-coding RNA is filed under the name Mus caroli (Ryukyu mouse). RNAcentral's name for it is "lncRNA (MGP_CAROLIEiJ_G0002869.1)". The record is from RNAcentral. Lineage: Eukaryota; Metazoa; Chordata; Mammalia; Rodentia; Muridae.
AGAUGUUGUACCUAGUGAAGGAGAAGCUCUGCUCCCAGGAGCCUUUUUUCACCUCAGGCAUUUCAUUUCUACCUCAGAUAUCUUACAAAUUAAAGAGCUGGGGUUUGAGCUUUAGUUAGUGACACUGCAUCCACUUAGCAAAACCAAGGCUCUCAGUUCAUUCCACAGCACUGGAAACAAAAGGUUUCAGAUGAAGAAAGUGACACAUGAUUGCAUUUGAAUCUAAACUCAUAAACUUCUUAAGUGCUGGAACAAAUAUGAAAAUCAGAAAGACAGAGAAAGUCAUUAUGCUAACAUUGGAAAAUUUUAGAAACAAAUCACAAUGAUGAUAAGUAUAUACAAUUUUCAUAGGUGGGAUCUUGUGAAAAUGUACAAACAGAAUGAAUCAUUCCAGAGACUAAUUCAGGAAAGCCUUAAUCUUGACUUUAAAUGUUGAAUUAGACUAUGCCCCAUUUUUUCCAAUUGAAUGCAGGGGAUGAUAUAUAAACAGUAUUUAAAGAAUCUGUAAACUAUCUCACUAAAGUGCUACUUUCUAUAUUUACAUAUGAAUAGUAUGGAAUAGGAUUUAUAUGCAAAGGACCAUGUAGCCUACCAAAGAGAGUCAAAGAAAUGAGGUGAGAUCGGACUUUUCUUAAUACUUUUGCAAUAUAGGCAUCCUUCCAAAUGCAAAGCACAGAAGAAAAAGAUCAGAAGUCACCCAAGAAACAUUGAUGUUGCCAAGAUGUAGGCAGAAUGCAAGUAGAACAGCUCUGUGAGGCUGAGAAGACAAAUAAGAGUAACUCAGCAAGAUUCAGACCUCUCUAUGUAGUUUUGGCUGUCCUGGAACUUACUGAGUAGAAAUGGCAGGCCUCAAACUCACAGACAUUCUCCUCCUGCAGUCUCCUGAUUGUUGGCAUUAAAAGCCUGAGAUUAAAAUCAUUCCUGACCUG